UGGACGAUCGAACAGAAGACAAGGGUUGAAACCCUAGCAUCAAGAAAUCAAGCAAUUUAGCUUGAAUCAAAGGAAAAAUUCGAUGCAUGAUUCCCUAAACUCGAGUAGCUAACCUCAAUUUCCGAAGUGGCGUGAAGGAAGAAGGUUCAAAUGCUAAGAAAUCGGAAGGUUCACAAGACCGAGGUAAAUCCUCAAUUCAUGCGACUUGGAGAAUCGGAGCGAGCACAUGUCCAUGUUAUGUUAUACCAAACGCUUCCGCUAGCUUGUUCUCAUCUUUUUGAUCCAUGACUUGUUAUUUUGCUUAACUUUGUUAGUAGUCGUAUAUUUUUAAAACUUGUUGUCUUUGCUUUCGACAAUAUUAUGUCGAACGGAUCGUAGAAUGCUAUUUAGUUUGAUUAUGUUAAAAACAGGGGCAUGCUCGUUUUAUGGACGGGUCAUGCCCAAAUUUUGUUAAAAUCACAUAUUAAUGUUAUUGAUA
Long non-coding RNA from Helianthus annuus (common sunflower), 478 nucleotides. RefSeq lists it as uncharacterized. The record is from RefSeq and is a predicted model, not a curated record. The transcript has 3 exons. NCBI's taxonomy places the organism in Eukaryota, Viridiplantae, Streptophyta, Magnoliopsida, Asterales, Asteraceae.